Molecule: long non-coding RNA, 2885 nt
Organism: Cercocebus atys (sooty mangabey)
Lineage: Eukaryota; Metazoa; Chordata; Mammalia; Primates; Cercopithecidae
Exons: 4
Source: RefSeq, a predicted model, not a curated record
UCUGGUAAGCUCCCAUCAUGUCAGCUGUUGGCGUAGGUGGUGUUGGUGAGAUGCGGGGCCUGGAAUUCACUGGACGCUCUGGUGCAGAGUCUGAACAGAAGCGGAUGACAAGACCCAAGGAGCUGGAGGAGCCACACAACUGAAAGGGAUGAGGUUCCUGAAUCACUACACGGAGGGAAGCACCCACUGAUUAGAAACAUCUGCCUGUUUCAUAAGGAUAAGUAAAGAGGGAAUGGAUGCCACAUGGUGCAGCUGCCUAAAAGCUAAGAAGGGGUCAUGGGGUAACAGGAAAUGCCAAAGAAAAACAAUAAUUGGCAUAAAGAUUGAGGCCCAGAAGAGGAAAAGGAAGUGACAAAGAUCACCCAGAAAGAGGGUUCCAACUGCAGCUUGACUUCAGGUGAUGUAGCUCCCACCUGGCCAGGUAUCUUUUCCAGUAUACCAACAUAACUAGAGAAAUUUUUAUGCCUUAACUCAGUCACCAUAAAGACUCAAUGGAAUUGAGUGUUUUAGAAAAAAAAAAAGUCAUAUUUUAUCACCCCAAGCUUGAUUUACAAUGGCUUCUGACUGACUCUCUCUUUCGAACACAGACCUUUAGCAACCAAGAUUUCACAUAGCACACAGACACUCUCUCACGACACCUUGAGGGGUUGUAGUAGCUCCUUUAGGGUCUGCCUGAGCUGCGGAGAACCACCCGGCCUGAGGUUAUGCCCUUCCUGGGUUAGUGGGCACUUGAGUGAGGGACGGUACGAAGGACUGGUCAUUGUGCCCUAAUUGGAGCCAUUGAGAGAGCAGCGCUCACUCCAGAGCUCCCUGCCAGAUUGGCCUUGUCUCUCUUGGGCUGCACCAGAGUUCAGCUCCUUCCUGUGCUCAAUUCUGUUUCCUUCUGAGUAUCACAGAUGUUGAUUCUUAAAAAAAUCUUGUACCCUGAACUUGAUAGCAACAUCUCCUUUAGGAGAGCCUAAAAGAGGGGUCAAAGGCAGCUAUGGUGGUGUGGAAGGGAAGGAAGGACGACAGCCAUGGUAAUUAACUUUGAAGGGAAGGAUGUCAACCGUGGUAAUUAACUUUGCUAAGGGGAGCACAUUGGGGGAAACUGAGGUGUGUGUCAACCAAAUGCAAGCUUUUAAAAGAAGCCUUGGCAGACAGAAGUGCAGGAGGCUCCUAAACAUUUAAAUCACCUUUUCCUAUUGAUUAAGGUAAAUACUUUACUGAUGCUGUUAGUCAAUACCCCUAUAAAUCCUCGACGUGUGAUAGCUUUACUGUGUAUUUAAUGUUUCUGUCUUUAAUUGAAUUACAUCCCCCUCAGCCCAAAAUGAUGAACUGAAAGUUAGAAAUCAUGUUGGCUCUGACAAAAAUGGGGCAUGUUUAUUUUCUUUGUUUAAUUUGAAGAACUAAACCCUUUGAAUGUAAGUCAGCAAGCCUGACUUUGUCAACAGUGGUUGGCCUCAUCUCUUUACCUCACUGGGCCUCAGUUUUCUCACCCAGAGAUGGAGAAAAUGGAGACUUUGCCCAUGUAAGGUAACAGCUUGGAAAGCCAGGAGGCCAUAAGGGAGCCUCAUUAUAAAUGCCUCAAAGCAGGGCUCUGUACAAAAAUUUUCCAGAAUCUUCUGUGGCACCCGCAGGGAGUGGACACAGUGGUCCUGGAACCUGUUAAUUCCUUCUGCCACCCUCUUUCUGCACUGCCACCAUCUGAUUGAUUUGCCCACUUAGACAGCUGAGUGUAAAUAUCUACCUGUCAAUCACCCCAUUAUGCUAAGUGCCCAGCCGGCCCUGAACGGUGAUUUACACUCUCCAGUGGAUGGCUCUGGUCCUUGGCAGCUGUGCUGUGUGCACAGUAGGGAGAGUAAAGUACAGCAGGUUACAUUCCCAGGGUCUCCACCCUAGACCCUCAGGGACAUGGUCUUUUCCCGAAGAGAGGUCUGACUGAAGGGUAGGAAGCAUUCUGAGAUCCUCUUUUCACCCCAUCCUUGCUGAGGGUGGGGAGUGACCUUCAGUGAACCUCAGAGUCUAAAGGAACUAAUUUCUUCCUACAGAGGAGAAGGAUCUACAACAGUGGUCCUCAAAUGAAUGCCACUUUGCUCCCCAGGGGACAUUUGGCAAUGUCAAGAGACGUUUUUGCAGGUCACGACUAGGGGCGAGCCCCCAGCAUCUUGUGGGUGGCGUCUAGCGAUGCUGCUGAACACUCUAAAAUGUACAGGACAGGCCCCCAGACAAAGAAUUGUGAGGUCCAAAGUGUCAAUAAUGCCACUAUCAAGAAACUCGGAUAUACAGGGAAGAGAGAAUGUUAAUCAAAAUGGGGUACUAGAUGACUCAAAGAAACUUCCACAGGUAUGUGAUGAUUUGUUGCAAGACUACUGUGGGAAAAGCAGGAGUUUGGGGAGAUGGAUAAGCGUGGUGGUGGUCUUUGGAAAUGGAACAGCUAGUCAGGAUUUCCCAGUGCUGAUGCAGUUGUAUAUAACCCUCAGUUUACAGAGAUGGGUUCUAAGGCUCAGAUGGUGGCUAAUAUAUAGAAUUGGGAUCCUUGUCUCUUGAAAAGCACAUCAGGGCUCUUUUCAACAUCAGAGAUAGGCAAUCAUUUUAAGAGAUUAACCGGCAGCAGCUUUCCAGUGCGUGUGCCCAGCAGGCACCUGAACCUAGCAGAAAAGAGUGCUGGGAUUGAUUUGUGAUGUCUGCCAUGGAUGCAGGAAAGAGGAAUGAUGGCACUUGGGAAACAUAUUUACCUUCCUUGUAUUCACCAUUUUUCUUAGCCUCAACUAUCCAUAGAGAAAUAUAUUUAAGGCCAUUUAAAAACAUAUUUAGAAUCUUGUUUGGCUGCAUUAAAAGAGAUGCUUUUAACAUACUCUUCUGAAAAAUAAAAUUAUCCAAUUUUUAGUAAUGCAUGCUUGUUG